Oncorhynchus keta (chum salmon) is the source of this 431-nucleotide long non-coding RNA. RefSeq lists it as uncharacterized. The record is from RefSeq and is a predicted model, not a curated record. NCBI's taxonomy places the organism in Eukaryota, Metazoa, Chordata, Actinopteri, Salmoniformes, Salmonidae. The transcript has 3 exons.
CUAGUAACCAGCAGGUAGCCUAGUGGUUAGAGUGUUGGACUAGUAACCAGCAGGUAGCCUAGUGGUUAGAGCGUUGGACUAGUAACCAGCAGGUAGCCUAGUGGUUAGAGCGUUGGACUAGUAACCAGCAGGUAGCCUAGUGGUUAGAGCGUUGGACUAGUAACCAGCAGGUAGCCUAGUGGUUAGAGCGUUGGACUAGUAACCAGCAGGUAGACUAGUGGUUAGAGCGUUGGACUAGUAACCAGCAGGUAGCCUAGUGGUUAGAGCGUUGGACUAGUAACCAGCAGGUAGCCUAGUGGUUAGUGCGUUGGACUAGUAACCAGCAGGUAGCCUAGUGGUUAGAGCGUUGGACUAGUAACCAGCAGGUAGCCUAGUGGUUAGAGCGUUGGACUAGUAACCAGCAGGUAGCCUAGUGGUUAGAGCGUUGGACA